RNAcentral lists this ribosomal RNA (439 nucleotides) under uncultured bacterium. Its description in RNAcentral is "partial 16S ribosomal RNA". It matches the Rfam family "Bacterial small subunit ribosomal RNA", at positions 339 to 795 of the family's 1533-position model. The record is from RNAcentral.
CUACGGGUGGCUCCAGUGGGGAAUAUUGCACAAUGGGGGAAACCCUGAUGCAGCAACGCCGCGUGGAGGAUGACACAUUUCGGUGCGUAAACUCCUUUUAUAUGAGAAGAUAAUGACGGUAUCAUAUGAAUAAGCUCCGGCUAACUCCGUGCCAGCAGCCGCGGUAAUACGGGGGGAGCAAGCGUUACUCGGAAUCACUGGGCGUAAAGAGCAUGUAGGCUGAUAAAAAGGUUAGAAGUGAAAUCCUGUGGCUUAACCAUAGAACUGCUUCUAAAACUCUUUAUCUAGAAUAUGGGAGAGGUAGAUGGAAUUUCUGGUGUAGGGGUAAAAUCCGUAGAGAUCAGAAGGAAUACCGAUUGCGAAGGCGAUCUACUGGAACAUAAUUGACGCUGAGAUGCGAAAGCGUGGGGAGCAAACAGGAUUAGAUACCCCAGUAGUC